RNAcentral lists this transfer RNA (72 nucleotides) under Capra hircus (goat). It matches the Rfam family "tRNA". Rfam says of the family: Transfer RNA (tRNA) molecules are approximately 80 nucleotides in length. Their secondary structure includes four short double-helical elements and three loops (D, anti-codon, and T loops). RNAcentral also lists the same sequence under 1 other name. Lineage: Eukaryota; Metazoa; Chordata; Mammalia; Artiodactyla; Bovidae. The record is from Rfam by way of RNAcentral.
UCCCUGCUGGCUCAGAAGGUAAAGAACCUGCCUGCAGAGCAGGAGACCUGGGUUUGAUCCCUGAGUUGGGAA